UACGAAGGGAGCUAGCGUUACUCGGAAUAACUGGGCGUAAAGCGCAUGUAGGCGGAACUACAAGUCAGGGGUGAAAUCCCGAGGCUCAACCUCGGAGUUGCCUUUGAAACUGUAGUUCUUGAGUGUGACAGAGGAUGGUGGAAUUUCCAGUGUAGAGGUGAAAUUCGUAGAUAUUGGAAAGAACACCGGUGGCGAAGGCGACCAUCUGGGUCACAACUGACGCUGAGAUGCGAAAGCGUGGGGAGCGAACGGG
This 253-nucleotide ribosomal RNA is filed under the name uncultured bacterium. RNAcentral's name for it is "partial 16S ribosomal RNA". It matches the Rfam family "Bacterial small subunit ribosomal RNA", at positions 524 to 776 of the family's 1533-position model. The record is from RNAcentral.